This 253-nucleotide ribosomal RNA is filed under the name uncultured bacterium. RNAcentral's name for it is "partial 16S ribosomal RNA". It matches the Rfam family "Bacterial small subunit ribosomal RNA", at positions 524 to 776 of the family's 1533-position model. The record is from RNAcentral.
UACGUAGGCAGCAAGCGUUGUUCGGAAUUACUGGGCGUAAAGCGUGCGCAGGCGGCUUCUCAAGUCAGGGGUGAAAGCCCAGAGCUCAACUCUGGAAUUGCCUUUGAGACUGAGUGGCUUGAGUACGAGAGAGGUGAGUGGAAUUCCCAGUGUAGAGGUGAAAUGCGUAGAUAUGACUCGGAAGGCCAACGGCGAAGGCAGGUUACUGGUACGCAACUGACGCUGAGGCACGAAAGCGUGGGGAGCAAACAGG